UAUAUUAUUUAUCAUCUAAUAUUAUUUGCAGCAGAUAGGUCCCCGUCCAUAAGACUGGUGCCGUGCCCGAUUGUUGUGCACCCUUGUACCACCCACAGGGGUGUCGUUUAUCGAUCACAUUCACCGAAAUAAACAACCUCACACCCCA
Molecule: long non-coding RNA, 148 nt
Organism: Haliotis rubra (blacklip abalone)
Lineage: Eukaryota; Metazoa; Mollusca; Gastropoda; Lepetellida; Haliotidae
Exons: 2
Source: RefSeq, a predicted model, not a curated record